AUUGAACGCUGGCGGCAGGCCUAACACAUGCAAGUCGAACGGUAACAGGAAACAGCUUGCUGUUUCGCUGACGAGUGGCGGACGGGUGAGUAAUGUCUGGGAAACUGCCUGAUGGAGGGGGAUAACUACUGGAAACGGUAGCUAAUACCGCAUAACGUCGCAAGACCAAAGAGGGGGACCUUCGGGCCGCUUGCCAUCGGAUGUGCCCAGAUGGGAUUAGCUAGUAGGUGGGGUAACGGCUCACCUAGGCGACGAUCCCUAGCUGGUCUGAGAGGAUGACCAGCCACACUGGAACUGAGACACGGUCCAGACUCCUACGGGAGGCAGCAGUGGGGAAUAUUGCACAAUGGGCGCAAGCCUGAUGCAGCCAUGCCGCGUGUAUGAAGAAGGCCUUCGGGUUGUAAAGUACUUUCAGCGGGGAGGAAGGGAGUAAAGUUAAUACCUUUGCUCAUUGACGUUACCCGCAGAAGAAGCACCGGCUAACUCCGUG
Molecule: ribosomal RNA, 490 nt
Filed under: uncultured bacterium
Lineage: Bacteria
Description: partial 16S ribosomal RNA
Rfam family: Bacterial small subunit ribosomal RNA
Source: RNAcentral